Molecule: long non-coding RNA, 1418 nt
Organism: Alligator mississippiensis (American alligator)
Lineage: Eukaryota; Metazoa; Chordata; Crocodylia; Alligatoridae
Exons: 3
Source: RefSeq, a predicted model, not a curated record
CUGACAUAUGAGGUCUCUUAAACUUUCUGAAGAAACCGUUAGUGGUUACUUUUAACGCUUCAAAAUGGUGCUGAUAUUCAUACGUGUUCGGUGAUGCAUUUUAUUGUACACUUUCAGGCUUAUAGCAGCAUUUCUAAUAACCAUUAAAGUAACCAUUUCAUGCAUAGCAGGAAUGUGGGGAAAAACAAACUAAAAACCGUUAAUGGAGGAAAGUGCGUUUUGUUUGCAGGGAGCUUUAUAUACGACUUCUCUACUGGCUGUGAAUUAAACCCUCGCAUUGGAAAUGUUGACCUCAAAUACUUCUGCGAGUUACGUCCAAGCUUAAUUGGCCGGGAAGCUAUCUUGACGACUAUGGACAUUACCCAUGAUGGGUUUGGAUUCAUGCUAGCAUUUGGAGAUCUGGUAUGGGUUCUGUUGAUAGAAAGCCUGUCGGCUGAAGAUAAAGUCGGUCAUCCAAACGAGAUUUCUUGGCUUGCUGCUUCUGCAAUUAUUAUUCUAAAUAACAUGAAAAGUGCUAAUUGGUGUGCUAUCCCAUCAUGUGAAAGAAGCCAUGUAUGAGGGACUAAAUCCAAGACAUUAGGACACCAGUAAAGGAAGUAUCUGAAGGAUCUGAUUAUGACAACGGAUUAGUCUAUGAUAAACGUGUAAGAGUGUAAAGAUUUUUCAUGUAUGGUUACAUAGAAUAAGAUGCUGCAAUGCUGCAAUGUACCUUUCCUUGGUUUGGUACCAAGGACGGGACUGCAAGGCUAUGAACAUCAUUUGGAUAUUGGUGACUCUGGGGCCUGCAGGUAGAGGACGCGUGCAAAAGACAGUGUGCUGUGCACAAAAAGCCAUUAUUACCUGUGUACCGUGUGGAAAUUACCUGUGUGUGUUGUGGGAAAAUCUUGAGUGUGGUGUGCAGAGAAAAGGAAAUCUUCACCUUAGAGCUCAUGUGUGUCAGAGAGCCUGAAAGGGCUGGGCUGCAUCUGUGGGCGCACCUGGGAGGUGGCUGAGAUGGCCUGAGAGGUCGGAGGGCCUGAAAGAGAGAGGUUGCAAAGUGGGAAAGCAACCGUGUCUACCUGAAGGAUGGCUUGUGAGCAAAGUCUCCAACAUUAAUAAGAGCGUGGAUUAACAUCACUAGACUUGAAGACUACAUCAUCAACGCAGAGAUAGAAGAAGACUUGAGGGUCGUCCUGGCUUGUUUUCUUCUAACCCCAGUCAUACGACCUCUUAGUCUUCCUAGGGAAAUAAAUAUCACCCAUCCUUUCCUGUGUUAUAGUCUGUAUAUGUCUGUAUGGCCCCCUGCAUAUAGCAGUGCCAAUAGUAGGAAUGUAUGUAUAUACACUUAGUACAGUAAAUUGUUUCCAGGGUAAGUAAUAGGUUUUGGUAUUUUUUAGUGGUUGCUCAUUGUGUUUAAUAAACCAUUUUAAUUCCUUAAA